Molecule: long non-coding RNA, 1716 nt
Filed under: Anas platyrhynchos platyrhynchos (common mallard)
Lineage: Eukaryota; Metazoa; Chordata; Aves; Anseriformes; Anatidae
Description: lncRNA (ENSAPLG00000029697.1)
Source: RNAcentral
GUUGGGGUCCCUAGGGUGCUGGGUGACCUGGUGGCCAUGUCCUUGGGGUGCUGGGGGUCCUUGGGGUUCUGGGGUGACCUGGUGGCCAGGUCCUCGUGGUGCUGGGUGACCUGGUGGCAGGGUCCCCGGGGUGCUGGGUGUCCCCGGGGCGCUGGGUGACCUGGUGGCAGGGUCCUCGGGGCGAUGGGGUCCCCGGGGGGGGCUCUGGGGGUCCCCGGGGUGCCGGGCUGUCCCGGCGGCUGGGUGCUGACGGCCGCGGCAGCGGGAGGCGCAGGUGAAGUUCCACGUGCUGCUCACCUCCUACGAGCUGAUCACCAUCGACCAGGCGGCGCUGGGCUCCAUCCGCUGGGCCUGCCUGGUGGUGGACGAGGCCCACCGCCUCAAGAACAACCAGAGCAAGUUCUUUCGGGUGCUCAACGGGUACAAGAUCGAGCACAAGCUGCUGCUGACGGGGACCCCGCUGCAGAACAACCUGGAGGAGCUCUUCCACCUCCUCAACUUCCUCACGCCCGAGCGCUUCAAGUACGGCCCCACCGUCCCCUCCUGGCCCCCAGUGUCCCCUCCUGGUCCCCAUUGUCCCCUCCUGGCCCCCAGUGUCCCCUCCUGGUCCCCACUGUCCCCUCCUGGCCCCAUUGUCCCCACCAGACCCCCAGUGUCCCCUCCUGGCCCCCAGUGUCCCCUCCUGGCCCCCAUUGUCCCCUCCUGGCCCCCAGUGUCCCCUCCUGGUCCCCACUGUCCCCUCCUGGCCCCAUUGUCCCCACCAGACCCCCACCAUCCCCUCCUGGCCCCCCACAUCCCCAGUCCACCCUCCCGUCCCCCCGCAUCCUCCCGCAUCGCCCUGUGUCACCACUGUCCCUACGUCCCCGUGUGCUGGCUGUCCCCAUAUCCUGGCUGUCCCCAUGUCCUGGUUGUCACCGUGUCCCUAUGUCCUUGCUGUCCCUAUGUCCUCAUGUCCUGCCUGUCUCCGUGUCCCCUCGUCCUGGCUGUCCCCACAUCCUGGCUGUGUCCCUGUGUCCCCACGUGUCCCCAUGUCCCCAUGUCCUGUCCAUCCCCUUGUCCCCACGUCCUGGCUGUCCCCAUGUCCUCGCCAUCCUGGUGUCCCCACACCUUGGCCCUCCCCACAUCCCCCCCACCUCCCCCAACCCCUCGUAUCCCCACAUCCCCUCGCGUCCCCCCCCUUGUCACCGCCAUCCCCGCGCCCCCCUCCUCACCCCAACCACACCCCCCAGCCCCCUCCUCACGCCCCCCACACCCCCCUCCCCGCAGCAACCUGGAGGGCUUCCUGGAGGAGUUCGCCGACAUCUCCAAGGAGGACCAGAUCAAGAAGCUCCACGACCUGCUGGGCCCCCACAUGCUGCGGCGCCUCAAGGCCGACGUCUUCAAGAACAUGCCGGCCAAGACCGAGCUCAUCGUGCGCGUCGAGCUCAGCCCCAUGCAGAAGUACGGGCGCCGCGGGCAGGGAGGGGGUGGUCCAGGCACGUGGGGGGGGGGGCCCAGCGCCCCAGAAACAGCUCCUGGGAGCCCCGGGGGUCCCAGCACCACAAUAGCUGAUCCCGCUGGGCUUGGGGAGGGUCUCAGCACCCCAAUUCCAGGUCUCAGUACCCCAAUACCAGGUCCUAUCCACUUUGUGGGGGGGGUCCUCAGCACCCCAACACCCAGAGCCCACCGGCUUUGGGGGUCUCAGCACCCCAAUUCCAGCUUCCAGCACGCCAAUUU